CCCCUUUUAGGAUUGCACCCGGAGAGUUUCCAGUACUCUACCUGUCUCGGCUACAGGAGGGAGAGCCAAGCAGGGGCAUACCCCCUCCAUUCCUAGCUUGGCCCGUGGCUUGUGAGUGGAAGGCAACCUGCUACAAAU
Small nucleolar RNA from Tachyglossus aculeatus (Australian echidna), 138 nucleotides. The record is from RefSeq and is a predicted model, not a curated record. Lineage: Eukaryota; Metazoa; Chordata; Mammalia; Monotremata; Tachyglossidae.